GCGUCCUCACACUGACCUGCCGGUCCUCCCGCGAAUGCUCCUGCGCCUGGGCCUGGGUCUCUCACGCAGAAUGCACAUGGCACACAACUGUGAUCCCGCUAGUUCCUGCACCAAUAAAAAAAUACUAGUCAACGGAGAAAUAUUUGUACCGUAUGUACAGAUUAAUGGUCAUAUCCUUAAACACAGAAAAAGAAAAAUGAACCCAACUUUCAAAAAUGGGCAACACCCUUAUGCUGGCAAUCCACAAAGAAGAACCAUAAAUGGCUGAUAAUCACACAUUCCACUAGGAACUCAAGAAAUGCAACUUAAAUCAACAAGGAAAGAAAUUCUUUAGCUAUCAUUUUCAGCUAAAAACUUUUCCCACACUGCUGGUGGGAUAAUAAAUUAACAUCAGUCGAGGGUCAAAUUGGCAACACCUGGCAAGAAUUUGCAAUCAUUUGGUAUCUGUGAACUUACCUUGAGGAAAUAAUGAUCGAGAUCCAGAGAGAGUUUCGAGCAUUCACGGCCUGAUGCUUGUAACAGUGGAGAACUGGGCUCAACCUAAUGCCCAACCACAGGGGAUCGUUGACAAAAGUCAACGCACCUCCACACUAUGAAGAACUUAUACCUUUACACCGUGAGAGAUACAAUGUUCACCGAUACGAAAACUGUCCACAAUUUAUUGGUUGGUGAAAACAUAGUUUAAAUACUAAACUGCAUUUCCUGCUAAUGCUCGCGGCUGAAGAUGAUUGGAUUUUAACAAGAGCUUUUUGGAUCAAGCGCCGGGCCUUCCUGGACUGUACAUUUUGCAAGCGCCACUGUCAUUAAAGGUUACCGGCACCUCCAUUA
Long non-coding RNA from Eptesicus fuscus (big brown bat), 828 nucleotides. RefSeq lists it as uncharacterized. NCBI's taxonomy places the organism in Eukaryota, Metazoa, Chordata, Mammalia, Chiroptera, Vespertilionidae. The transcript is spliced from 2 exons. The record is from RefSeq and is a predicted model, not a curated record.